This 253-nucleotide ribosomal RNA is filed under the name uncultured bacterium. Its description in RNAcentral is "partial 16S ribosomal RNA". It matches the Rfam family "Bacterial small subunit ribosomal RNA", at positions 524 to 776 of the family's 1533-position model. The record is from RNAcentral.
GACGUAGGAUGCAAGCGUUGUCCGGAAUUAUUGGGCGUAAAGAGCUCGUAGGCGGUUUGUCGCGUCUGCCGUGAAAGUCCGGGGCUCAACUCCGGAUCUGCGGUAGGUACGGGCAGACUAGAGUGAUGUAGGGGAGACUGGAAUUCCUGGUGUAGCGGUGAAAUGCGCAGAUAUCAGGAGGAACACCGAUGGCGAAGGCAGGUCUCUGGGCAUUAACUGACGCUGAGGAGCGAAAGCAUGGGGAGCGAACAGG